RNAcentral lists this long non-coding RNA (1060 nucleotides) under Homo sapiens (human). Its description in RNAcentral is "novel transcript". Lineage: Eukaryota; Metazoa; Chordata; Mammalia; Primates; Hominidae. The record is from RNAcentral.
CAGGUUGUGUUGGCUCCAGGUUUUCGGCAUUGUGCCUGCACUGAAUAAAAGCAAACAGCUCCAGCUUCUCGGGACUGCUGUCUGGCCACUGGAGCCAGGCAGUCACCUAGCUGCUCUUACACUGCAUACCUGUGUCUGAGUACUCAUUUCACCCAUCGGCCAAGGUCUGUGGGACAGACACAGCACAGAAGGAACCAGAGUACCAGAUCUUGUUUUCCUGGAAAAGGUCUUUUUUUCUCAGUCAACUGAGAAAACUGUGACUUACCACUCUUGGUGCAUGCAUGAAAGACCCUAGAAUGACUUCUGGUAGCCUGGGACUCCUUGGGAAAACAGAAAAGGUGCCACAAAUCCCAUUUUGGGAAAAAUCUGUUUUCCUCAUGGAACACCUGGAAUUAAAGAGUCAAGGAAAUUUUCUUAAAAGCCUUUAAGAACUAAGUAAACUAUACUCCUGUAAACAAUGUUUGGAGCAUGUUUGUUUCUCUCUGCCUAGUUCUUCUAGAAUUUGGAAACUAGUUAUAAGUAUUCUUGAAUUACAACUAUAUAGUUAUUUGCAUCAGUGCAACAAGAAUCCAUUUUCUUUUGCAACAAAACACAAUUGGAAAAACUGAUUGUUUUACCAAGGCUUUGACUUCAAGGCUUUGACUUGCAGAGCCAAUGAAAGCCCUUUGGGAAAACUGGCUGCAUACCUUGUCUACACAGUCUCUGUACAGUGUUCCUGACCUGUGGUGCGUAAAGAAUGUCACUUUCUAACAGGCCCGGAAACCCCAUGCUCCUGGAACCUCAAGAAGAAAGAAGUUUAUCCAACUCACAGGUAUUUGAGGGUACAAACUCAUGGCUGGGCUUGGCUUCAAAAAGUCCUAUCCAAGAUUCCUUGUGGAACAGAGUUCUAUCAAAACCAAUCAAAAUACACAGAGGUAAUUAUUCUUGCUGUACUUUUUGCAGAUAAUCAGGCCAAGUAUAGGACUAAAGUUUAUUCUGCAACCAGCUCAGUCCUAUCAUAAGUUGUUUUUCAUAAAAAUGAGAACUGGAGAGAGAAAUUAUGUUCCACACUUACUGUACA